CUAACUUGGACUAACCCAUACGGUCUUCACUGGGCAUGCUCCAACUUUUCCUGUUACUAUAAAAGCCAGCAGAUAACCUUAAUUCAGCUUUGCUCCUCUUGAAGCUGAAAUGGCAAAAAUUUCACACAUCUCCAAACAAGACUGCUCUACUGAACAUCUACCAUACCUGAGACCGCCAGAGGUGUCUAAUCUUGCCUGAUUUGGACUGUAGCAGCAGGAUUUUAUUCUAACAAAGAUAAAGCAGUUCAGAUUUCAGAUGACUGACCAUCUGAUUUACUGAUCAGCAUACUCAAUAAUGCAGUUACCUGCUUGGUCUAUCUGGUGGCAGCAGUUCAGUGCUGAGAAUGCAAUAAGCUUGUGCUCUGCGUUUUAUUAUAAUAAGAUUUGUUAAAUGAAAGAAAUAAAACUUUUUUGUG
Molecule: long non-coding RNA, 416 nt
Organism: Astyanax mexicanus (Mexican tetra)
Lineage: Eukaryota; Metazoa; Chordata; Actinopteri; Characiformes; Acestrorhamphidae
Exons: 2
Source: RefSeq, a predicted model, not a curated record